This 318-nucleotide ribosomal RNA is filed under the name uncultured bacterium. RNAcentral's name for it is "bacterial SSU rRNA". It matches the Rfam family "Bacterial small subunit ribosomal RNA", at positions 28 to 334 of the family's 1533-position model. RNAcentral also lists the same sequence under 1 other name. The record is from RNAcentral.
GACGAACGCUGGCGGCGUGCCUAAUACAUGCAAGUCGAACGAGAGCGACCGGUGCUUGCACUGGUCAAUCUAGUGGCGAACGGGUGAGUAACACGUGGGUAACCUGCCCAUCAGAGGGGGAUAACAUUCGGAAACGGAUGCUAAAACCGCAUAGGUCUUCGAACCGCAUGGUUUGAAGAGGAAAAGAGGCGCAAGCUUCUGCUGAUGGAUGGACCCGCGGUGCAUUAGCUAGUUGGUGAGGUAACGGCUCACCAAGGCCGUGAUGCAUAGCCGACCUGAGAGGGUGAUCGGCCACAUUGGGACUGAGACACGGCCCAA